RNAcentral lists this ribosomal RNA (503 nucleotides) under uncultured bacterium. RNAcentral describes it as "partial 16S ribosomal RNA". It matches the Rfam family "Bacterial small subunit ribosomal RNA", at positions 30 to 523 of the family's 1533-position model. The record is from RNAcentral.
AUUGAACGCUGGCGGCAGGCUUAACACAUGCAAGUCGAGCGGAGUGAUGGUGCUUGCACUAUCACUUAGCGGCGGACGGGUGAGUAAUGCUUAGGAAUCUGCCUAUUAGUGGGGGACAACAUCUCGAAAGGGAUGCUAAUACCGCAUACGUCCUACGGGAGAAAGCAGGGGAUCACUUGUGACCUUGCGCUAAUAGAUGAGCCUAAGGCGGAUUAGCUAGUUGGUGGGGUAAAGGCCUACCAAGGCGACGAUCUGUAGCGGGUCUGAGAGGAUGAUCCGCCACACUGGGACUGAGACACGGCCCAGACUCCUACGGGAGGCAGCAGUGGGGAAUAUUGGACAAUGGGGGGAACCCUGAUCCAGCCAUGCCGCGUGUGUGAAGAAGGCCUUAUGGUUGUAAAGCACUUUAAGCGAGGAGGAGGCUCUUUUGGUUAAUACCCAAGAUGAGUGGACGUUACUCGCAGAAUAAGCACCGGCUAACUCUGUGCCAGCCGCCGCGGUAA